RNAcentral lists this long non-coding RNA (307 nucleotides) under Mytilus galloprovincialis (Mediterranean mussel). The record is from RNAcentral. Lineage: Eukaryota; Metazoa; Mollusca; Bivalvia; Mytilida; Mytilidae.
UCCCUUAUAAUUUUUAUUGAAUAUGCAUUUGCAUUCAGGUAUCAAAGAUCAAAUUUUUCGUUCAUAGUGUGUUAUUUCGUGUUUUUUUUUUCAAUUGAGAUAAACCUAACAAUUGAUAUUUUACAGUGUGUUUAAGUUGUGAUGUUAUACUAUUGUUUCAGAAAAAGGAGAAGGUUUGGUUCCAUUAAAAAGUUUAAUUCUGCUGCAACUGUUUGCAUCUGUCCUAAUUCAGGAAUCUGAUGUACAGUAGUUGUCGUUUGUUUAUGUAAUUUAUACAAGUUUCUCGUUUCUCGUUUUUUAUAUAGAU